Molecule: transfer RNA, 84 nt
Filed under: Candidatus Parcubacteria bacterium
Lineage: Bacteria; Candidatus Parcubacteria
Description: tRNA-Leu
Rfam family: tRNA
About the family: Transfer RNA (tRNA) molecules are approximately 80 nucleotides in length. Their secondary structure includes four short double-helical elements and three loops (D, anti-codon, and T loops).
Source: RNAcentral
GCCCGGGUGGUGAAAUUGGCAAACACGUUAGCUUCAGGAGCUAAUGCCCGUAAGGGCUUGGGAGUUCGACUCUCCCCUCGGGCA